This 1020-nucleotide long non-coding RNA is filed under the name Struthio camelus australis. RNAcentral's name for it is "lncRNA (ENSSCUG00000016645.1)". Lineage: Eukaryota; Metazoa; Chordata; Aves; Struthioniformes; Struthionidae. The record is from RNAcentral.
GUCCAGCCUUGCUACUUGGGCUCUGGUGGUGACAAGCCUUUCAAACAGCUCUCAAUAUUGUACAGAUAAAAAUACCUCAUUUACACAGAGGACAUAUACAUAUUUUGUUAUUAGACCAGUCAAAGUCAACUUUUCAAUGACAUCUUAUUGAUUAGUAAGAGAUAUCUGACCUGAAAAUCCACUUUGUUCCUAUGCAGAUGAGAUGAAUGGCAGAUUAAAAAGCAAUAAUUUCCUUUGAGAAAAACACACAGCACAUGGAGAACUUCUUCUGAAUUUGAAAACCUUUAUUUUACUUCCUAGGAAAAGAAAAAAAAUAGCUUAUGAGACAACCAAAAAAUAUAACAGACACGAGUAAAAGGUAAGACUUAAAAUGUUCUGCUGAGAUUGAUUGCAUCUGAAGUUGUUACAUCAAGCUGGAGCCUCUCCACCAAAUCUAUCAAAAGAAGCUGUCUGACUUUUUGUCUGGUGCCUGCAACACUGAUUGCUCUGCUGACCCCUGAGCAGUCAGAGGAUCCCAAAGGUCAUACAAGCGGCAGCAGGACUAGCCACAGAGGGUACUGUCUCAUCAAACUCGACUGUCUGAUCCAUUCCUUAAUGGGCAUGCAAAUAAUGCAGUAACCGGAGAUGAUGUAAGGCAGCACAUCUGACAUAUCUUAGUAGGUUAACAAAUCACAGUCUGUCCUGAGCUGCAUGAAAACCAAGAAAUCAUAAAUCUAUAGACAAAGUAAAAUUGUAAUUUACUCGAGUUCUAUAUUUAUACAAUACAUGUGAUCUACAUCAGCCACGAGAUACUUUUCUGUGUUCUUAUAUUGAGCAAAUAGCCACAUAAGCACAACUCAUUGACUGUGCAUAUAAACUUCACAAGCCAUGUUGCAGGUAUAAGUUUGAAAUCCUCUUUUUUUAUGUACCUGUCCACACUAUGCUCAGUUGCCUUAGCUGUUCACACGAUCUAUAGAUUGGGAAUUCUGACUGAUAAUUUCAGUAAAUACCAUUGAAAAAUAAAUCCAUAUAAAAGUUCCA